GUGUCAGCAGCCGCGGUAACACGUAGGACGCAAGCGUUAUCCGGAAUUACUGGGCGUAAAGAGCGUGUAGGCGGUGCUGUAAGUCAACCGUGAAAGCUCCCGGCUAAACUGGGAGAGGUCGGAUGAGACUGCAGCGCUAGUGGGUCGUAGAGGAAUGUGGAAUUCCGGGUGUAGUGGUGAAAUGCGUAGAGAUCCGGAGGAACACCAGAGGCGAAGGCGGCAUUCUGGACGACAUCAGACGCUGAGACGCGACAGCACGGGGAGCGAACGGGAUUAGAAACCCUCGUAGUCC
Molecule: ribosomal RNA, 292 nt
Filed under: uncultured bacterium
Lineage: Bacteria
Description: partial 16S ribosomal RNA
Rfam family: Bacterial small subunit ribosomal RNA
Source: RNAcentral